GAUGAACGCUGGCGGCGUGCCUAAUACAUGCAAGUCGAGCGAACAGAUGAGGAGCUUGCUCCUCUGACGUUAGCGGCGGACGGGUGAGUAACACGUGGAUAACCUACCUAUAAGACUGGGAUAACUUCGGGAAACCGGAGCUAAUACCGGAUAAUAUCUUGAACCGCAUGGUUCAAUAGUGAAAGACGGCUUUGCUGUCACUUAUAGAUGGAUCCGCGCCGCAUUAGCUAGUUGGUAGGGUAACGGCUUACCAAGGCAACGAUGCGUAGCCGACCUGAGAGGGUGAUCGGCCACACUGGAACUGAGACACGGUCCAGACUCCUACGGGAGGCAGCAGUAGGGAAUCGUCCGCAAUGGGCGAAAGCCUGACGGAGCAACGCCGCGUGAGUGAUGAAGGUCUUCGGAUCGUAAAACUCUGUUAUUAGGGAAGAACAAAUGUGUAAGUAACUAUGCACGUCUUGACGGUACCUAAUCAGAAAGCCACGGCUAACUACGUG
This 497-nucleotide ribosomal RNA is filed under the name uncultured bacterium. RNAcentral's name for it is "partial 16S ribosomal RNA". It matches the Rfam family "Bacterial small subunit ribosomal RNA", at positions 28 to 507 of the family's 1533-position model. The record is from RNAcentral.